GCCAGGCGUGGUGGCGAGCGCCUGUAAUUCCAGCUACUUGGGAGGCUGGGGCAGGAGAAUCGCUUGAACCCAGGAGGCAGGGGUUGCAGCGAGCCAAGAUAGCACCACUGCACUCCAGCCUGGGUGACAGAGCGAGACUCUGUCUCAA
This 148-nucleotide non-coding RNA is filed under the name Nomascus leucogenys (northern white-cheeked gibbon). The record is from Rfam by way of RNAcentral. Lineage: Eukaryota; Metazoa; Chordata; Mammalia; Primates; Hylobatidae.